RNAcentral lists this transfer RNA (73 nucleotides) under Ovis aries (sheep). It matches the Rfam family "tRNA". From Rfam's summary of the family: Transfer RNA (tRNA) molecules are approximately 80 nucleotides in length. The record is from Rfam by way of RNAcentral. Lineage: Eukaryota; Metazoa; Chordata; Mammalia; Artiodactyla; Bovidae.
UCCCUGGCAGUUCAAUGGUUAGGACUCAGCACUUUUACUGCUGAAGACCUGGGUUCAAUCCCUGAUCGGGGAA